This 21-nucleotide microRNA is filed under the name Zea mays. RNAcentral describes it as "microRNA miR-3109". The record is from RNAcentral. Lineage: Eukaryota; Viridiplantae; Streptophyta; Magnoliopsida; Poales; Poaceae.
UUUGUCAUAGCCGAACAGCGU